UCAAAAGGCACUAAAAGUUUGCUAAGAGCCCAGUAUGUCCGUGAUGAAUACUAACACACCAUGGAUCCUGACUUUUGUUUUGGCCCACUAUAUACAAAACAUUGCACUCGCGGUCCAUUUUGGGCGCUUCUAUGGUUACAGUUUUUAAGGACUUAUGUGAAUUUCCCCUUUCCCUGUAGGACUCAUUUCUGAAGCUCGGUUUAGGAAGAGGAAUUGCUAUAGUUUUUUCAUGAUUUUUUUUUAUAACAAAGAUGAAUUGACAUAACCAAAUCAAUAACUAGGUGCAUUGAAACACAUGAAGAGAUGAUGAGGUUUCAGGCUAAACCAUACUCAGUUCUCGCACAAAAAGAAGUAUGUAAUUAAAGCCUGUUUAAAUAAAGUUUUGAAUGUCCCAUCGUCUGUCAUGCGUUUGAUACAGAAAUCAUCAAUACAAAGCUCUGCACGACGGCGGAUGCGGCGGCGCGAACUGGCGGUCGAGGCGAUGUUCCGGCGAGUCCUGUGCACCAAACGCGAAACGGCCGAGCCGAUGAGCACCAGGACAUCAAGUCAAGCAAAGCUAGAACAACAGAAAGAUGGGAGAGACACGUGCCAGUCCAUGGCGAAGGAGCUCACGGCGGGGAGACGGACGGCCGCGGAGAAGAACCGGCGCUGGGGACGACUCCGGCAACGAGAGGCGGCGCGUCUGGGAUCAAACGAUGCGCACGGACGAGGCGCACCUGGCUGCGAGAGUAAUUGGACGGAGGAGGGAUGGUUGUGGCGAGUUUAGCCGGCGAACCGAAGGUGAUCGGCGGCGAUCAAAAGGGUAAAAGGGAGAAAGAGUCGGCGGAGCUCUAGCGCUAGCUCGGGCUUGGACACGCCAGCUCUAGCUCCGGACUCGCCAGCUCUCGCUCGGGCUUGGACACGCAAGCAGCUGCGCGUCCACACGCGAGGAAGCGGCGCGAACGGCGGCGGCGGCCGUCGGCAAGCAGCUGCGUGGCAUUGGCAUGGGGACUGGGGUCUGGGCGUCCGUCCGGCCGUCUGGGGAGGCGGUGGGCAGGAGGAGAAUCGCGGAGCCGCGCUCACCGCUCAUCACUCCCGGGCCGGGACAGGCUGCGAGCGGUAGCGAAGUGGGCGGGCUGUGCGUUGGGCUUCGUCUCUGACGGGCCUGCCUGCGCGAGCUUUCUCCGUGUUCACCGUGCGCUCGUCGUUGGAUUGGAUGGCUGAUCG
Molecule: long non-coding RNA, 1206 nt
Filed under: Sorghum bicolor (sorghum)
Lineage: Eukaryota; Viridiplantae; Streptophyta; Magnoliopsida; Poales; Poaceae
Description: long non-coding RNA (SBIC_LNC001619)
Source: RNAcentral